This 525-nucleotide long non-coding RNA is filed under the name Helianthus annuus (common sunflower). Its description in RNAcentral is "hypothetical non coding rna". The record is from RNAcentral. Lineage: Eukaryota; Viridiplantae; Streptophyta; Magnoliopsida; Asterales; Asteraceae.
GUGAACUCUUGUUUCAGAGUUCUGUCAUUGAAAGUGGAAAUUAGGUCAGAUUCAGAUUCCGGACUCUUAAAACGAGUGAUUCGGUCAGGACCGGUGGCGAUGAUUGUUGUGGUUGGUCUGAAGAAUGGUGUGGAUAGCCGGAACGGGGAGGAGGCGUGAAGGAGGUGCGGCGGUGACGGCGAAGGAUGGGCGGAGAACGACGGUGAGGGUUUAAGGAUAAGGGUGGCCGCCAUGGCCGGAGUUGAGGGAGAAGGGGCUCCGGGAAACCAUAAGCGGAGGAUUUUGGUGGUGAUGGUAGCAGGCCUACACAAUUUACAUACCCAAAGUUAGUUGUCUAUUUAAUACCCAAAUUAAUACCCUAAAAACUGAAAUGACAAUAAUACCCUCAUGUGCAAUUCACAUAAUCAGAUUUAACAGAAAAAUCUAACUGGGUUAGGGCUAAAGGACAUAACAUGCAAAAUUGUAAAACAUUAAGUACAAGACUCGUCAAUUUAAAAGAUAAAGGACACCGCCUGAAAUCCACUA